Hyla sarda is the source of this 709-nucleotide long non-coding RNA. RefSeq lists it as uncharacterized. NCBI's taxonomy places the organism in Eukaryota, Metazoa, Chordata, Amphibia, Anura, Hylidae. The record is from RefSeq and is a predicted model, not a curated record. The transcript has 4 exons.
CUAAGGUUCAGUUUGGUAAGGAGAGAAGACUGUCUGUGAAGUGAAUCUGAAAGGAGGCCUAAGGCCUAGUCCAGCAACCACGCAUCAGCUACAGGUUAACCCCACUACCCAGGUGAAAGUUAAAGCCUUGAGAUGUGGCCAGAUCCAAUGUUACGAGCAAGUUUGUCCAGCCAAAAAUAGGCAGUUCAUUUAAAAGGCCAUUUUCUGUAUUAAAAAGUAUAAUGAAAACUAUUCAUAGGAAGAUUAAGUGCCAAGAUAUUCCAAAGCGCUUUACAGAGAAUGUCAUCACUCACAUCAGUAAUCUGGAGUAUGGUAGGAAACUGGAGUAACAUGGGAAGAACUCCAUACACUCAAUCCCGGACCCCAAUGUUGAAAGACAACAGCGCUAACUACUAAGUCCACUAACAUGCAUGUACAUGCUAUGUUCCUGUAACAUUUUCCCCUUAUAGCAAUUAUCGGGGAUUGGACUUUUUUUUUUUUGCAUUAUUUUUAUUUUUUUUAAAUCCUGCCCAGCUGGCAUCAUUUAAAAAAAAAAAAAAAACUGAAUUUACCUCCGGCACCUUAAACUGCGACUAAAAAACUUUUAGUUUUUAUAGGUACCAUUUUAAGGAACCACUUCCUUUUUCCAUUUCUUUGAGAAAACAAUGUUCAAAAUGCAAUAAUUUUUAUCAUUCUGUGUGGGGGUAAUGUUUUAUGUAAAAAGGAUGUU